Molecule: ribosomal RNA, 435 nt
Filed under: uncultured Streptococcus sp.
Lineage: Bacteria; Bacillati; Bacillota; Bacilli; Lactobacillales; Streptococcaceae
Description: bacterial SSU rRNA
Rfam family: Bacterial small subunit ribosomal RNA
Source: RNAcentral
UGGUUUAAUUCGAUGAUACGCGUAGGACUUACCUGGCUUAAAUGUAGAGUGCAUUUUUAGAGAUAGAAAUUCCCUUCGGGGCUUUCUGCAAGGUGCUGCAUGGUUGUCGUCAGCUCGUGCCGUGAGAUGUUGGGUUAAGUCCCGCAACGAGCGCAACCCCUAUUGUUAGUUGCCAUCAUUCAGCUGGGCACUCUAGCGAGACUGCCGGUAAUAAACCGGAGGAAGGUGGGGAUGACGUCAAAUCAUCAUGCCCCUUAUGACCUGGGCUACACACGUGCUACAAUGGUUGGUACAACGAGUUGCGAGUCGGUGACGGCGAGCUAAUCUCUUAAAGCCAAUCUCAGUUCGGAUUGUAGGCUGCAACUCGCCUACAUGAAGUCGGAAUCGCUAGUAAUCGCGGAUCAGCACGCCGCGGUGAAUACGUUCCCGGGCCUU